AACGAACGCUGGCGGCAUGCCUAACACAUGCAAGUCGAACGAGACCUUCGGGUCUAGUGGCGCACGGGUGCGUAACGCGUGGGAACCUGCCCUUAGGUUCGGAAUAACUCCCCGAAAGGGGUGCUAAUACCGGAUAAUGUCUUCGGACCAAAGAUUUAUCGCCUUUCGAUGGGCCCGCGUUGGAUUAGCUAGUUGGUAGGGUAAAAGCCUACCAAGGCGACGAUCCAUAGCUGGUCUGAGAGGAUGAUCAGCCACACUGGGACUGAGACACGGCCCAGACUCCUACGGGAAGCAGCAGUGGGGAAUAUUGGACAAUGGGCGAAAGCCUGAUCCAGCAAUGCCGCGUGAGUGAUGAAGGCCUUAGGGUUGUAAAGCUCUUUUACCCGGGAUGAUAAUGACAGUACCGGGAGAAUAAGCUCCGGCUAACUCCGUG
Molecule: ribosomal RNA, 433 nt
Filed under: uncultured bacterium
Lineage: Bacteria
Description: partial 16S ribosomal RNA
Rfam family: Bacterial small subunit ribosomal RNA
Source: RNAcentral